UUGAUUAUCCUACUCGGAUAACUGUGGCAAUUCUAGAGCUAAUACACGCAAUAAAGCUCGGACCUUUCGGGAAGAGCGCAUUUAUUAGACCAAAACCAAUCGGGCUUCGGCCUGAGCUGUGGUGACUCUGAAUAACUAAGCUGAUCGCAUGGUCUUAGUACCGGCGACGCAUCUUUCAAGUGUCUGCCUUAUCAACUUUCGAUGGUAGUUUAUGUGCCUACCAUGGUUGUAACGGGUAACGGAGAAUAAGGGUUCGACUCCGGAGAGGGAGCCUGAGAAACGGCUACCACAUCCAAGGAAGGCAGCAGGCGCGCAAAUUACCCACUCUCGGCACGAGGAGGUAGUGACGAAAAAUAACGACGCAGUGGUUAGAGGCCGCAUGGAAUGGUCAAUUAACCC
Molecule: ribosomal RNA, 399 nt
Filed under: Tardigrada environmental sample
Lineage: Eukaryota; Metazoa; Tardigrada
Description: SSU rRNA
Rfam family: Eukaryotic small subunit ribosomal RNA
Source: RNAcentral